Molecule: long non-coding RNA, 980 nt
Filed under: Numida meleagris (helmeted guineafowl)
Lineage: Eukaryota; Metazoa; Chordata; Aves; Galliformes; Numididae
Description: lncRNA (ENSNMEG00000013215.1)
Source: RNAcentral
CUCCGGAACAUCUGAGGACGUUUUACAUUGGCACCCCAGUAAACACCUGUGCUGCUGAGCAGCAAAGGACACUCACGCUCCUGCUGCAGUCUGUGCUGCACUCUGUGGCGAGUUUACACAUUGUCUACACCGUGACUCAGUGCAGAGCCCCACUGCAAACAGAGGACCCACGCGGACGCUCGCUGCAGGGCUUCGCGCCCUCCUGCACCACGGGCAGCCCGGGCUGCUCCCCAGUGCAGGGCUCGGGUACUUCUCAUCAUUAGCAAACUACUCACUGAAGUUUGCAAAUACAGUUUUAGUCUCUGUCAACCUCAUCUCCCUUCACCCGGCAGAAGUCCAUUUCCAGCACAGACUGCUCAGCGCCAAAGCAUUUGCCAGCACAUGGGUAGGAGGCCUCUUGUGUGCACAUUGUCCAGGAAGAGUUUUCACUCCACCUUUGAGCCAUUGCCACAAAGGGCUGGGAGGGAUGGCAGAGUUCAUGCUCGGGAGGCAGCAGGGCUUACGCCGCAGUGAUGGUACAUCAGGGUCAGUCUAACUUGUGGGACUUCUCACCUGCAUCCCAAAGCAAGUGAAUGCAAAGCUCAGCUAAAAUGCCUCUCGGAACGCAAGGAGCACCAUCUGAGCAGGAAACACUGGCUAAACACUGAGGGCUCAGACUUGACUGAGAAGGAAAUUGAGUGAAUGGGAAACAUACAUCCAGGAGACAACAAUGUGGGAAUACCUUUGGUUUCGGAAAGCUGCUCACCUUUGGGUGCUGCUCCCUGUGGUUUAGGGCCCUGCAGUCCCCGCAGCCCGAGCAGGGGCAGCUGUGUGCGUCAGAGAGAAGGCUACAUCCAGCGUGCUGGGCCAUUCCCAGAGCAAAGCCAAGGGGGCCUAAACCUGAGGGAACCAAGUCCGUGGAAGGCUGAUGCUGAGCUGAAUGCUGCUGGUGAAAUGCUCGGUCACGUGUUCUUUUCAGGAAUGUGAUUCACAGAGAGACC